Molecule: ribosomal RNA, 497 nt
Filed under: uncultured bacterium
Lineage: Bacteria
Description: partial 16S ribosomal RNA
Rfam family: Bacterial small subunit ribosomal RNA
Source: RNAcentral
GAUGAACGCUGGCGGCGUGCCUAAUACAUGCAAGUCGAGCGAACAGACGAGGCGCUUGCUCCUCUGACGUUAGCCGCGGACGGGUGAGUAACACGUGUAUAACCUACCUAUCAGACUGGGAUAACUUCGGGAAACCGGCGCUAAUACCGGAUAAUAUAUUGAACCGCAUGGUUCAAUAGUGAAAGACGGUUUUGCUGUCACUUCUAGAUGGAUCGGGGCCGCAUUAGCUAGUUGGUAAGGUAACGGCUUACCAAGGCAACGAUGCGUAGACGACCUGAGAGGGGGGUCGCCCACACGGGAACGGAGACACGGUCCAGACUACUAAGGGAGGCAGCAGUAGGGAAUGGGCGGCAGAGGGCGAAAGCAUGACGGAGCAACGCCGCGUGAGUGAUGAAGGUGUUCGGAUCGGAAAGCUCGGUUAUUAGGGAAGAACAAAUGUGUAAGUAGCUGUGCACGGCUUGACGGUACCUAGUCAGAAAGCCCCGGCUAACUACGUG